Molecule: long non-coding RNA, 337 nt
Organism: Ipomoea nil (Japanese morning glory)
Lineage: Eukaryota; Viridiplantae; Streptophyta; Magnoliopsida; Solanales; Convolvulaceae
Exons: 3
Source: RefSeq, a predicted model, not a curated record
CAAGGAGUUCUCUCCGGCCUAAAUCAUAUAGGUGUUUACUUGAACAUAAUUAUGGGGUUAAUAACAUCUCACACCUACUUGAUAUUGGAAGUCAAAGGUUUUGUGUAUUUUUUCUGGGUACGACAAACAUAUUUUGGUUUAUGCCUUCAAGAUGGAUUUUGCAGUUGAAUAUGAAAACCAGGGAAAGUCAACCUCACUUGCAAUGCCCUCAAUACAGAUUCUCUGUUCCAAGAAAUUUUUUCCCUCCAUAGUAAAUUGUGUUUGUUUGGCCUAUGCUCCUGCAUCUCAAUGUUGUGUUCCCUGGGAUAAAGUCAAGCCCAGAAAUAAUAAUUCUAAG